RNAcentral lists this ribosomal RNA (464 nucleotides) under Lachnoanaerobaculum saburreum. Its description in RNAcentral is "bacterial SSU rRNA". It matches the Rfam family "Bacterial small subunit ribosomal RNA", at positions 28 to 493 of the family's 1533-position model. The record is from RNAcentral. Lineage: Bacteria; Bacillati; Bacillota; Clostridia; Lachnospirales; Lachnospiraceae.
GAUGAACGCUGGCGGCGUGCUUAACACAUGCAAGUCGAACGAAGCUGUUAAAAGGAAGUCUUCGGAUGGAAUUUUAACAGACUUAGUGGCGGACGGGUGAGUAACGCGUGGAUAACCUGCCUUAUACAGGGGGAUAACGGAGAGAAAUUUCCGCUAAGACCGCAUAAGACCACAGCACCGCAUGGUGCAGGGGUAAAAUAUUAAUAGGUAUAAGAUGGAUCCGCGUCCGAUUAGCUUGUUGGUGAGGUAGAGGCUCACCAAGGCGACGAUCGGUAGCCGGCCUGAGAGGGUGAACGGCCACAUUGGGACUGAGACACGGCCCAAACUCCUACGCGAGGCAGCAGUGGGGAAUAUUGGACAAUGGGGGAAACCCUGAUCCAGCGACGCCGCGUGAGUGAAGAAGUAUUUCGGUAUGUAAAGCUCUAUCAGCAGGGAAGAAAAUGACGGACCUGACUAAGAGCCCC